This is a non-coding RNA of Monodelphis domestica (gray short-tailed opossum), 3712 nucleotides long. NCBI's taxonomy places the organism in Eukaryota, Metazoa, Chordata, Mammalia, Didelphimorphia, Didelphidae. The record is from RefSeq and is a predicted model, not a curated record.
ACUCUUCAGUUUAAUUUACUUCAACCAGAACAAUCUAAAUUUCUUGGUCAUGUUCUAGACUUAAAUAAGUGUUACUUUGUUUAAAAAUAAUUUGCCAAGGUUGAGAGAUUUGCUAUAUCUAUAAAAAUUGUGACAAAAAUCCAUCAAUUCAUAGUUUUUUUUAUUACAAACAGCAACUUAUAUGAAAUAUGAUAGUGGGUUUUUUUUUUUGGCUAUUGUAAUUAACUGGGCUAUUGUGAAUUUUGAGGACUUUGGUACUUCUUUGAAUAUGCAUUAUCUACUGUAUUACUAUUUUAUUCUGAAAAUCAUAAUGUACCCACACUGUGGUUCAUGGCUAAGUUAAAAAGGAAAUGGAUCUCGGUUUUUUUUUUUUUUGUGAGGAACCUUUGUAUAUUCUACCUCUCAUUGACUGACACAUUGUGUCACUGAUUAUAAGCUAUAUAUUUUUGAUUUUUAAAAUUUUUUUAUUUUUGUUUUUCCUUGCAUGUGCAAUAUAGCAUUUGAGUUUUACUUUUUCUUUCCUCUUUGUAUUUGAACAGUAUUGAGAAGAUUUUUUCUUUAACUUUUUUAUUUUGCAGUAAUAUAAGUUUAAAAGACAUUUGUUCUAAUAUUAAUGCAUACUCAAAAGCUUUACACUAUAAAAAUGAUUUAAAAAUUAUGGGACUUUGCUUCAUGAUUCUGUCUGAUUCCAGAAAAAGAGAAUAUACAAAAGAGCCAUUGUACGGUGCUAAAUUAAAUCAUUUUAAUUGUGCCCUGAUUCAUGGACUUGUUAAAGGUUUGCUCUUCCUUUAGUUAGAGUUUUUAGACAUAAGACUUUUACAUUUUGUAUUAUAUGCACAAGUUAUUUUUCUCUUUUUUUCAGAUUUUUUCAUGUUUUUGAUUUUCUUUAGCAAAUUGAUUCAUAUACCUCAAAACUCACCCAUGCAUCCUUGAGUGAUCCCUGGGUUUGUUAUUAUUCACUCUAGGGGGACCAAGUUAUUGUUUCAACUUUGAUUUAAAUUUGAGCAAUUUUAGGAUAAGGAACUUGCUACCUUCCAGGAUCCAGAAUGCGCCAGGAAGAUAGAUGCCUGCAGAGACCACAUGCUGCACCAGAAGAUCCAGAGUGAACUUCGAAUCCGCGGCUGCCUCUCUCUCUGUUUUCCUGAAUAUUGGUGGGCAGAGCCCCCAGAACUUUUCAGGACUGGUGAGAUAUUCCCUCGUCUGAUUUUCAUGCCCGAGGGCUGUCUCUCACCAGUGUCAAGAAACUGAACUACGGAAGUUGGUUUUCUCACCUUGGGAAUCUGGGAUAGACACUUCUGUUAAUUAGAGCCCCCGAGAAGAGAAAGAGUCACGGGCUGAGACAGGUACGAAGGUUAAGAUGACACAGUAGGAGAAGGCAGAAAGAGUAUUCCGCAGUGAUUUAUAAGUCUUCACUGACUGAAAUACAAUGGCUCACUGACUCAUGGGAAAAGGGUGCCCCGCAUAUCGGAUUCCCAGCUCCGGACUCCUUUGGGCUGGAUUCAGUUCUUGGGGCCGUGCGCUAAAGGAGGGAAGUUAGAUUCUCAGUCUUUCUGACUCAGUAUGCCUCUAAUCCACAGUUGAAUUCCGAGAACAUUUUCUAAAAACGAUCUUUAGGCAAGGCUCAUGUCUAUAAUUGAGCCUAAAAGGGUCGCCUCCCUUCCAAAAAUGGUACUCAGAAUAAUUUAGAUAAAGCACAGGACAGCAACUUAUUGGCUCCCUUAGAGAAGAAGAGGUGAAGACACACACGACUCAGUAGCAAACGUUGACAAAUACUUGGAUCAUGAUAUGAUAAACCAUAAGUCUGAUUGUACUUACUGGGAGCUUGACACUUAAACCAUUAAAGCAGGAGACACUUUAUAGGUCUGCUGAAUAGACAUCACUUUAAUCUCAGUUCUUUACUGUCAGUAGUCACAAGGCCAUUAUCACGUGUCAAACUCAGCUAUGCCUCACACGCAUAGUCCUCCUCUACUCUCCAACAGCGUUUCCGUGGUCACCUGCUAUUACAUAGUCAACAUGCUGAUGAGGAAGCUCCCCACCUUAGUAGGUUAGGAGCAAGACGAGGACUAGCCAUCACAGCAUGGAGGGCUCCUUGAUAAAAACUGCUUGAGGCCCACCCUAGCUGAAACACCCUGAAGUCAUCCCCUUUACUUGAAGACUCCAGUGUUAAUAAUCACCUGAAGCUUUUUUGACCCUAUUUUUCAUUUUGGCAAGUUAAGUCAAGAGGCACUUUAAAAUGCUAAUAAUGUGUUUCUCCAGCUUUAAGUAUGUAUUCAUGUAACUUCAAAACUCCAAGCAUGGCUAGGGUCAACUGUUAUUACUCUUAUAGAAUUGGUCUACCCUCUUAGGUGUUUGGGAGCUGUCCAUCAGAGUCUUUGAUUUGUAUUUUUUAUCACUCCCACAAUUCCACUUAAAUUAGCACCAAAAAGGCUCCUUAACACAGCUUCACGAACAACUUCUAGAUAUAUUGUUGAAAGAUAUUUCCUUUCUUCUCUGCAGAGAAUCUGUACCCUGACUCCUAUCUGAGUUAGGAUGAAUGAUUUGGUGAGGCUACUGAUAGGUAGAUAUGCUCCUCUGGAUUUUUUUUAGCUUCCAAGAUGCUCUUCUAUGCAAAUGUACAGAAGGUUUAAUAAGCCUUCAGGAGGAAAAAAACUAUGGGGGAGAGGGGGAGGCAGCACUAUAAUCACUGAAGUUCCUGUUCACAUUCCUGUCUGAAGCAAAUUACUUGUCCUCCUUUUCAUAUAGAAUAUAUGAGGAAAACCUUGAAGAAAUGUGCAAGUUAGAUUAUUUAACUUGGUUGUACAUUGUGCAGUGGAUUGGAACUCUCCCCAGACUUCUUUUCAAUCAUCUCUAGCAUUAGUGGUUGUAGUUUAGUGAAAUGUUUGACAAUAUUAUCUUGUGGAACCAAGUGUUGUCUAGAUGUCAAAACAUAUGUGACAGCCUUGAGUCAAGUAGUCUACCUUUUCCCCCUCUAGUAAUGCCAAAUGUAUAACUUACUAUUCAGUCUCCAUCAUCUCUUCAGAUCACCAUUUCAUAAUCCAUUUCACACCUGGGCAAAUUUAAGUACCCAUAAGACAGGAUGUGGUUUUUAUGUGAAUAGCCAUCAAUGGCUGCCUUUGAUCACGCAUUUUCUUUCAGUCCAGUUAAAUACAGACAUUUUCAGAAAUGGCUAUUGAAAAAUAAAUUGAGAAAAGAAACCAACUUUGUGAAAAAAUAUUAAAGUCCUGAAUAAGGCAGGCUCAGGCUUUUUUCAGCCCUGUUUUUAGUUUAGUACAACAUGAGAAGGCUCGCCACCUACAAAAUAAAAUGCAAAAACAAUAAAAAAGGAAAUGCAUAUGAUACUUUAAGCUGACUAAAUGAUAUUAGUUAAUGUAAUGCUUCAAUCUCCAUCUAUAAAAUGAGAUUAUAAUUCAAAUAAAUUACUAUAGUUGACUAAAUUAGAGAAUGCAUUUUUUUUUUGCAAUAUUUAAUCCCACAACAAAGAAUGAACACUGUAAAUAUCAACUAUAACCGCCAUAUAGUGGGAUGUAAACCCUAGAAUUUGGACACAAGAUGAGAAAGUGAUAUUGUCUUAAAUUCUUAAAGUAUUACCAUGUAAGUUCAUAAGAAGAGCUGAAAGGUCCUUGACUAUAAGGCCAGUAUUUAAUUUAACUUUGUAUAAUCUGAUGCACUUAUCUAUAUUGUAAAAGUUAAAAUUAAAUCUUAAUAAUAAAAA